AAGAGCUAGAGUCCGGGUAGGGGUAGAGGGAAUUCCCAGUGUAGCGGUGAAAUGCGUAGAGAUUGGGAAGAACACCGGUGGCGAAAGCGCUCUACUAGGCCGCAACUGACACUCAGGGACGAAAGCUAGGGGAGCGAAUGGGAUUAGAUACCCCAGUAGUCCUAGCUGUAAACGAUGGGUACUAGGCGUAGCUUGUAUCGACCCGAGCUGUGCCGAAGCUAACGCGUUAAGUACCCCGCCUGGGGAGUACGCACGCAAGUGUGAAACUCAAAGGAAUUGACGGGGGCCCGCACAAGCGGUGGAGUAUGUGGUUUAAUUCGAUGCAACGCGAAGAACCUUACCAGGGCUUGACAUCCGGCGAAUUCUCUGGAAACAGAGAAGUGCCUACGGGAGCGCCGUGACAGGUGGUGCAUGGCUGUCGUCAGCUCGUGUCGUGAGAUGUUGGGUUAAGUCCCGCAACGAGCGCAACCCUCGUCCUUAGUUGCCAGCAUUAAGUUGGGCACUUUAGGGAGACUGCCGGUGACAAACCGGAGGAAGGUGGGGAUGACGUCAAGUCAGCAUGCCCCUUACGUCCUGGGCAACACACGUACUACAAUGGUCGAGACAAAGGGCAGCCAACUCGCAAGAGUGAGCGAAUCUCAGCAAACUCGGCCUCAGUUCAGAUCGCAGGCUGCAACUCGCCUGCGUGAAGGAGGAAUCGCUAGUAAUCGCCGGUCAGCAUACGGCGGUGAUUCGUUCCCGGGCACUUGUACACACCGCCCGUCACACCAUGGAAGCUGGCAACAUCCGAAGUCGUUACUCCAACUGUUCGCAGAGGAGGGCGCCGAAGGUGGGGCUAGU
Molecule: ribosomal RNA, 840 nt
Filed under: uncultured organism
Description: bacterial SSU rRNA
Rfam family: Bacterial small subunit ribosomal RNA
Source: RNAcentral